Molecule: long non-coding RNA, 1288 nt
Filed under: Olea europaea subsp. europaea
Lineage: Eukaryota; Viridiplantae; Streptophyta; Magnoliopsida; Lamiales; Oleaceae
Source: RNAcentral
AAAAAAGUCGAAAAAAAGAAUCUAUUUUUUAUAUUAUUGUUCAAUUUACUACCAACAAUCUUUAUUCUAUUGAGUCACACUAGUUUUUUUCAUCAAUUAAAGUCCGGGUUUAUUCCAUCAAAAAUUCUUCAAGUCCUUUUGUUUCACCAUCUUUUGUUCACAUUCGAUUAGGAAUUCCACGAGUUUAAAAUUUUUCGAGUUCACUUAGUUCUUUUAAGAGCUUGGAGGGAAGCACUGAGUGGUAAAAGACAGAGUGAUGAGAUUAAUAGAAGGAAAAUGUCAUAUUGUGUGAUUUCCAAGUGAAUAUCGGUGAGGCAGAUAAAAUUCUAGUUUUAGAAUGUCUGAACGAGAAGAUUCGAAUUCAAGCCGACGCGGCAACAUAAUAAUGCAAUGGAUGAUUUAAUACAAUGAUUUGAAAGUGCGUUUGGAGAUGUAAGGGAUAGGUUGGAUCAACAGGAGGCUUGGAGGAUAAAACAGGAAACUUGGAUGACUAGGUUAGAUACAUCAGUAGCUAAUCUUAGUAGGGGACAACCAGUAGAGGUGUCGAAUGCUAGGGGACCGGGUAGACGAGAUCCUAGGAGGGUAAGGCAUGAGGAAUCUGAUAGUGAUCUCAAUGAGUAUGAGGCCAAUGACGUUGAUUUGGGGAGGAUGAGAAAUAGAGGUGAUAAGUUUGAAAGACGGGGUAGGAAUAAUAAUGGAGAUGAGAUGGAUGAAAACAUGGGUAAUAUCAAAAUAACCAUUCGACAAUUUAAAGGGAAAAGUCACCCGAAGGCGUACCUAGAGUGGGAAAGAAAGGUUGAAUUGAUUUUCGAAUGUUAUAACUACUCGGAAGAGAAGAAGGUGAAGUUGGCAAUUCUAGAGUUCAUUGACUAUGCAAUAACUUGGUGAGAUCAAGUGGUUACUUCAUAAGGUAGGUGUGGGAGAAAACCGGUUAGUACUUGGGAGGAGUUGAAGACAUUGAUGAGAAAACGGUUCGUUCCUAGUCACUAUUAUAGGGAGAUCCAUCAGAAAUUGCAAAGCUUGUAUCAAGGGUCGAAAAGCGUGGAGGAUUACCACAAGGAGAUGGAGAUACUUAUGAUUAGGGAAAAUGUGGUUGACGAUCGGGAAGCUAUCAUGGCACGGUUCUUAAAUAGGUUAAAUAGGGGAAUUGCUAAUGUAGUGGAGUUGCAACAUUAUGUAGAGUUAGAAGAUAUGUUGCAUGUAGCUAUGAAGGUGCAGAGAAAAUUGAAGUGGAUUGGAACAGGUAGGCAACUGUGAAAUACUUCGAAUUCAUCUUGGAAAUCGAGGU